Molecule: ribosomal RNA, 245 nt
Filed under: uncultured bacterium
Lineage: Bacteria
Description: partial 16S ribosomal RNA
Rfam family: Bacterial small subunit ribosomal RNA
Source: RNAcentral
UGCGUAGGAUGCAAGCGUUAUCCGGAUUCAUUGGGCGUAAAGAGUGCGUAGGCGCCUUAGUAAGUCGCGUUUUAAAGACCAGGGCUCAACCCUGGGAAUGAGUGCGAUACUAUUGAGGUUGAGGAUCGAUCAGGGUACCAGAACAGCUAGAGUAGCAGUGAAAUGCGUUGAUAUUAGCUGGAAUACCAAAGGCGAAGGCAGGUACCUGGGUUUUUCCUGACGCUGAGGCACGAAAGCCAGGGGAG